RNAcentral lists this transfer RNA (64 nucleotides) under Dipodomys ordii (Ord's kangaroo rat). It matches the Rfam family "tRNA". Rfam says of the family: Transfer RNA (tRNA) molecules are approximately 80 nucleotides in length. Their secondary structure includes four short double-helical elements and three loops (D, anti-codon, and T loops). Lineage: Eukaryota; Metazoa; Chordata; Mammalia; Rodentia; Heteromyidae. The record is from Rfam by way of RNAcentral.
GGUGGCUCAGUGGUAGAGCACUUGCCUUGCAUGCAUAGGCCCUGGGUUCGAUUCCUCAGCACCA